Cylas formicarius (sweet potato weevil) is the source of this 693-nucleotide long non-coding RNA. RefSeq lists it as uncharacterized. The record is from RefSeq and is a predicted model, not a curated record. NCBI's taxonomy places the organism in Eukaryota, Metazoa, Arthropoda, Insecta, Coleoptera, Brentidae. The transcript is spliced from 3 exons.
UAUUAUUAUUAUUAUUUCGGUUGUUUACCGGAGUAUCCUCUACAGUCGACCGGUAGGCAGGACUACAAAGCUUGUUAUUCCUCCAAGAAUGAUCGGACGAUAUGUGUGGCAUCCAAUAUGACGGACUUCUGCAUCAGUUUAAACCAAGCAUGUGGAUGACAUGAUGACGAUACGAUUUUUACUUCAUCGAGGCUCCACAUCUCCAGGAUUUCCCUUUUAAGGAUUCAUUGAACCAGUUCAGGGAUUCCAACUAGGACCUUCAACGGUCGAACUCUAGUACCCUCACCAUCAGAAUUUUGGGUUCCUAACCGAAACACCGGAACAUUUGGAUAUUUGCUCGUUUUAUGAUGUACAAAACAGAUCAUUUAAGAAAUUUCAGCAUUAAGAAUCGAUUUAAACCUAUGCAAAACUAAUUAGAGCAGCAGCACUCGCAUCCGCACGCGCCGCGAGUUAAAAACAUAUCUCAGUAUUGCCAUUCUGAAGCCAAUGUCUUUUAAUAUUAUUCAAUCCAGCUUCGAGGGAUGUUUGGUCACUGCAUAUUGUCGUUGCUCGUUUGCAUAACAUUUUAACUAAUUAACUACGUUCCGGAACGGUAAGACUCGGAUACUCUACGUGUAUUUUUUUCACAUGUGGUGGUGGAUUGAAUUAAGGUAAUUGACAAUUAAAUCCAGUUUUAGAUCGGUUCCAAUCCAG